UACGAAGGGGGCUAGCGUUGUUCGGAAUUACUGGGCGUAAAGGGCGCGUAGGCGGUGUGUCAAGUCAGGCGUGAAAGCCCCGGGCUCAACCUGGGAACCGCGCUUGAGACUGGCACGCUCGAGUUCGGGAGAGGAUGGUGGAAUUCCCAGUGUAGAGGUGAAAUUCGUAGAUAUUGGGAAGAACACCGGUGGCGAAGGCGGCGACCUGGUCCGUGACUGACGCUGAGGCGCGAAAGCGUGGGGAGCAAACAGG
This 253-nucleotide ribosomal RNA is filed under the name uncultured bacterium. RNAcentral describes it as "partial 16S ribosomal RNA". It matches the Rfam family "Bacterial small subunit ribosomal RNA", at positions 524 to 776 of the family's 1533-position model. The record is from RNAcentral.